AAAAAAUAGAAGAAAUAUAUCUUUGCUUCAUUGAGUAGAGGAAAGCCUUUCACUAUGUAAAUCAUACAGAAUGUAGAAGGUGUUAAGGCUAAUGGUGUGCCAGAAUACCUGAUUGUUUUUUCAAGAAACUUUUACGGCGAGCAUUGAAUUCUUGGAGUUUCUUUUGAGCUGUAUCCAUAUGAAUAAAAUUGGCUGCCUUUCCUGUGACCCAAGGAUGCUGUAAAGCUUGGAAAGUGGUUCUAAUCUAAGGACUGAUGUAUCCAGCAGAUCUCAUGUAUCAAUAUCUUUCUGACAAAUGACCGAGCUGUUAGUUCUAGCUACAAUAAACUGGAAAAGCUGAAGUAGAAUUUCAACUUUCAACUUCCUUCCCCACCAGAGGUAAUUGGGAUGGUAUGUCAAAUCAAAACAUUAUGAUGUCAUUUUAAAAACCUCAAAGUUGUCAGUGCUGAAAAAUAUAUGAGACAGUGGUGGGUUUCAAUUUUUUUUACUACCGGUUCUGUGGGCGUGGCUUGGUGGGCAUGACAGGGGAAGGAUACUGUAAAAUCUCCAUUCCCUCCCCAAUCCAGGGGAAAGUUACUGCAAAAUCCCCAUUUCCUCCUGAUCAGCUGGGAUUUGGAAGGCAGAGAAUAGAUGGGGGUGGGGCCAGUCAGAAUUUUUACUACCGGUUCUCCCAACUACUCAAAAUUUCCACUACCGGUUCUCCAGAACUGAUCAGAACCUGCUGAAACCCAUUUCUGAUAUGAGAUCCAUUUUUUCCACUGCAGAUAUUAUCCAUCUACCCUUUAUGUUUCUGUAUGCAUUAUGGCUGCUAAUUUAUAAUCAUAAUAAUGGAUGGCAUUUUGCAAUACAGAUAUUCAAGAUAGCAAAGCUAUCGGUGCAUGCUCUGAAAUUGAAGCAUGAUGAAGAAAUCAUGCUUCUUUCUUUGCCCUCUUUCAAGGCUUCUUUUAAAAUCCUACCCAGGACAAGCAA
This is a long non-coding RNA of Ahaetulla prasina, 969 nucleotides long. RefSeq lists it as uncharacterized. The record is from RefSeq and is a predicted model, not a curated record. Lineage: Eukaryota; Metazoa; Chordata; Lepidosauria; Squamata; Colubridae. The transcript is spliced from 3 exons.